AUCCAGCUGACGAGUCCCAAAUAGGACGAAAUGCGUUUUAUCUUGGAU
Molecule: non-coding RNA, 48 nt
Filed under: Trichobilharzia regenti
Lineage: Eukaryota; Metazoa; Platyhelminthes; Trematoda; Strigeidida; Schistosomatidae
Source: RNAcentral